UGGGGAAUCUUGGACAAUGGGGGCAACCCUGAUCCAGCCAUGCCGCGUGAGUGAUGAAGGCCUUAGGGUCGUAAAGCUCUUUCGCCUGUGAAGAUAAUGACGGUAGCAGGUAAAGAAACCCCGGCUAACUUCGUGCCAGCAGCCGCGGUAAUACGAAGGGGGCAAGCGUUGUUCGGAAUUACUGGGCGUAAAGCGCACGUAGGCGGACCAGAAAGUUGGGGUGAAAUCCCGGGGCUCAACCCCGGAACUGCCUCCAAAACUAUUGGUCUAGAGUUCGAGAGAGGUGAGUGGAAUUCCAAGUGUAGAGGUGAAAUUCGUAGAUAUUUGGAGGAACACCAGUGGCGAAGGCGGCUCACUGGCUCGAUACUGACGCUGAGGUGCGAAAGUGUGGGGAGCAAACAGGAUUAGAUACCCUGGUAGUCCACACCGUAAAACGAUGAAUGCCAGUCGUCGGGUAGCAUGCUAUUCGGUGACACACCUAACGGAUUAAGCAUUCC
RNAcentral lists this ribosomal RNA (497 nucleotides) under uncultured bacterium. RNAcentral's name for it is "bacterial SSU rRNA". It matches the Rfam family "Bacterial small subunit ribosomal RNA", at positions 355 to 870 of the family's 1533-position model. The record is from RNAcentral.